ACUUGAGGGAGGAAAGUGCAGGACACUGAGGGGACCUGUGUCUUGUGUUUCAGAUGGCUGGAGUACAGUGGCACGAUCUCGGCUCACUGAAGCCUCUACCUACUGGGCUCAAGCGAUCCUCCCACCUCAGCCUCGCACAUAGCUGGGACUACAGUAUAGAAUGUUUUUCCCAUGAUGUUCCCUUUCCAAUGUCUUUCUGGAAGUCACACAUUGACCACUAACAACAGGAGAGAGGACAAAGAAAGGCAGCAAGAGACUAUUUCCAAUGCAAAAUAUGAUCAGUUCCUGCUUCCUGGUUGUUGUGAGGAUUCAAUCUAAUAACAUAUAUUAGAAUGUUCCUGAACCUCUAAAAGACUUAAAAAAUCUUGACAGGCUUACUGUUAUUCUAAUAAAUGUUCCAAAUAAUAGAA
RNAcentral lists this long non-coding RNA (410 nucleotides) under Pan troglodytes (chimpanzee). RNAcentral describes it as "lincRNA". The record is from RNAcentral. Lineage: Eukaryota; Metazoa; Chordata; Mammalia; Primates; Hominidae.